This 73-nucleotide transfer RNA is filed under the name Myxococcales bacterium. RNAcentral's name for it is "tRNA-Val". It matches the Rfam family "tRNA". Rfam says of the family: Transfer RNA (tRNA) molecules are approximately 80 nucleotides in length. Their secondary structure includes four short double-helical elements and three loops (D, anti-codon, and T loops). Further hydrogen bonds mediate the characteristic L-shaped molecular structure. tRNAs have two regions of fundamental functional importance: the anti-codon, which is responsible for specific mRNA codon recognition, and the 3' end, to which the tRNAs corresponding amino acid is attached (by aminoacyl-tRNA synthetases). tRNAs cope with the degeneracy of the genetic code in two manners: having more than one tRNA (with a specific anti-codon) for a particular amino acid; and 'wobble' base-pairing, i.e. permitting non-standard base-pairing at the 3rd anti-codon position. Lineage: Bacteria; Pseudomonadati; Myxococcota; Myxococcia; Myxococcales. The record is from RNAcentral.
GGACGGGUAGCUCAGUUGGUAGAGCGGCGCUCUUACACGGCGCGGGCCGCAGGUUCGAGUCCUGUCCCGUCCA